Molecule: long non-coding RNA, 3844 nt
Filed under: Populus tremula
Lineage: Eukaryota; Viridiplantae; Streptophyta; Magnoliopsida; Malpighiales; Salicaceae
Description: long non-coding RNA (PTRE_LNC000379)
Source: RNAcentral
GAGCAUCGAUGGGAGAGGAUCUGUUUUGGGCCAUUCGAGGAGGUGGAGGCAACACCUUUGGAGUUGUUGUUGCUUGGAAACUAGAAUUGGUCACAGUUCCACCAACUGUGACAGUGUUCAAUGUCUCUAGAACUUUGGAACAAAAUGCAACAAAAUUCGUUUAUCAGUGGCAGUCGGCAAUAUGAUGUUAUGACUUGUUGGGAUAAAAAGAGCAUGUGUUUUAAAAGCAAAAAAAUAUCAUUUUCUAGCUUGAAGGAGGCUGCUUUUGCUGGAAAUUUUCUAGGCAUGUUUUUUGUGUUCUUGAGAUAAACAUUGCCUUAACCCCUAGGUUUAGACCACAUUUGGUCUAUUUCUUUGCACAAAACUCUUUCUUAUGCAUAAAUAAUAAAUAAUCUAGUAUUUAUUCACACAAAAAUAACAUGCUUAUAAUGAUUUUUAAUUAUAGAAUUUCAAUUUUAUACCGAAAUUUAUUUUGAUAAAAUCGUGAUGAUUUAAUGAAAAUUAAAAUGAAUGAAUUCUUAAUUUUUGAUACUUGAAUGAUUUCAGGUUAACUAGUUGGGUCUGGUAAAACACACACACACACACACACAUAUAUAUAUAUAUAUAUAUAUAUAUAUAUAUAUAUAUAUAUGUUUCUCUGUGGACUCCAUGUUUUGCCAAAUUAAUGGCACGCUACAUGAUUCAUUUUCUAAUUAAGAGUGUAUGUAAAGUUCACAAAAAAGAGGAUACUACAAGUAUUUGAAAUGUCAUGGAAUUCACCUUGUAAACGCUAUCAUCUUAUGAUAUUGUAGCUCUUGAUCCAACUAAUUGCAUUAAAUGAAUAACUUCUGUUAAAAGCAUAAGACCAAUGAUCAAUACUCAUUUGUCAAAGGACUAUAAAAAAACUACCCGGAAUAGGAGUCUUGGCUUAUGAGUUUGAGCUGGAAUAUUAUAAAAUGAUUUUUUUUGUUUCAUUUUAUAUACUCUUGAAAGGCUAAUAAAAUCAAUUCAAAGCUACACAUGCGCGAUGCAAGGGCCGGAGCAUUAAAUUGAUACAAAUGAUAUCAAAUAAAGACAAAGAAAAAUGGAUAAAUUAAAGAUAAAGAAAAAUGGAUAAAUUGAUCGGCAAGUGCCGCUAAUAAAAUUAAUACACUAGAAUAAUUCAUCCUAUAGUUCAAAAGUCAACUAUGAAUGCCACAUAAACUUAUAAGAUGAUAUUGUUGACAUCCAUGCAACAAGUCACAAGAAUCAUGCAAGUGUGUAAAUCUCGUGCUAGAAAUCUCAUUUUGCUGGCUUGAAUUAUUUAUUAAUUCAUCUCGACUUGGUUUACCUUGUACGUUUAACCUUUGAAAAUUAACAGUUGACUGUGGACAAUCUUGUCGGUGGUUUAAAUGAUAAUUGUAAUGAGAAAUUUAUUUUGUUUCAGCGAAAUUACAAUUUUGACCAAUAAAAAACUUACCUCAAAGAAAGAAGGUUAUGUUAAUGGAGUGCAAUUACUACGUCAUCAUGAUCCUACCAAACACAAAAUUUGAUUAACAUGGAUACUGAAGCAUAGGAUCAUCAUCCAUAGCGAGAAUAUUUAGUUUUUUGUACUUUCAAUUUUUUUUUAAUUUUUAAUUAAUAUUUCUAUAUUUUUAGAUUAUUUUGAUGUGGGGAUUUUAAAAAUUAAAAUAACAAAUAUUAUUUUAAUAUUUUUAAUUAAAAUAUACUUUUAAAAAUUACCACUAAUAUACUAUUCUAGUCUAUUAGUUUGAGGCAUGCAUAACGAGCAUAAGAUUACGACAACGUACAAGCUAUCAAUCCGAUUAUUAUUUCAGUCGUCUGAAUAAACUAACAUUAUUGUUCAUUGAAAAUUCAAUGGCUGGAUUGUCAUUGCCCAUGUAAUAGAAGAAGAAAAUAUGAACAAAUCUAACACCCAAGCUAUCAAUCCGAUUAUUAUUUCAUCCAGAACAUGCAUGGUUGAAUUGUCAUCAUCUUCGAGAUUAAUUCGUCACAAAAUCUUCAUAAACAAGCACCCUUCAGAGCUAUAUAAAUAAGGGGGUCUCUUGCAUCUUUCUAUAUGCCCAAAACAUUAAGAAUCAUGAACUGUCUAAGCUCUUCAAUGUUCCCAUUCCUGUUUCUCUUUCUGUUUUCAUUCUCAUGGGUAGCUUCAGCUGAUCGUCAUGAGGAUUUUCUUCAAUGCCUUCAUUAUCAAAACUCUAACGCCAUUUCUAAGGUCAUUUACACCCCAAUCAACUCCUCAUAUUCAUCUGUCUUGCAGUUUUCUAUACGAAACGGCAGGUUCAACACAAGUGCCACCCCGAAACCACUAGUUAUUGUUACACCUCUAAAUGAAGCCCACAUUCAAGCUGUCAUUGCUUGUUCCCAGAAACAUGGCCUGCAAAUUAGAGUUCGAAGUGGUGGCCAUGACUAUGAGGGCCUCUCUUAUGUUUCGGUUCUACCCUUUGUGGUUAUUGAUCUGAUCAAUAUGCGAACAGUUACAGUUGAUGUAGGAAACAAAAUUGCAUGGGUUCAAGCUGGUGCUACACUAGGAGAAGUUUACUACAGAAUCGCUGAGAAAAGUAGAACUCUUGCCUUCCCAGCAGGUGUUUGCCCAACUGUGGGAUCCGGUGGGCACAUCAGUGGAGGAGGACAUGGGAUGAUGAUGCGUAAAUAUGGCCUCGCUGCAGACCACAUUAUUGAUGUCAAAUUAAUCGAUGUUAAAGGUAGAAUCCUUGACCGAGCAUCGAUGGGAGAGGAUCUGUUUUGGGCCAUUCGAGGAGGUGGAGGCAACACCUUUGGAGUUGUUGUUGCGUGGAAACUGGAAUUGGUCACAGUUCCACCAACUGUGACAGUGUUCAACGUCACUAGAACUUUGGAACAAAAUGCAACAAAACUCGUUCAUCAGUGGCAGUCGGCAAUAGGAAAGUUUGACGAAGAUCUAUUUUCCAGAAUUUUCCUUUCGAGAGCUAACACUUCUCAGGAAGGAAAGACAACAAUACUCGCCGUAUACACUUCCUUGUUUCUUGGUGGAGUCGAUAGACUCCUAUCAAUGAUGCAACAGAGCUUUCCCCAGCUCGGUUUGGUUAAAGAAGACUGCAUCGAGAUGAGUUGGAUCGAGUCUACUGUCUACUUCGCGUCAUUUCCACGCAAUACAUCCUUGGAUGUUUUGCUUGAUAGGAGUCCAGGAUCCACAGGAUCUUUCAAGGCAAAAACAGACUAUGUGAAUGUGAAAGAGCCUAUACCUGAAAUCGCUUUCGAAGGAAUAUGGGAAAGGCUUAACCAACUGGAUGCCCAAGUAGCUCAAUUGCAAUUCACAGCCUAUGGGGGCAAAAUGGACGAAAUUUCCGAGACCAGCACUCCAUUUCCACAUAGAGCUGGAAAUCUAUUCCAAAUUCAUUAUGCAGUCUUUUGGGGCGAUCAAGACAGUGAGAGAUCUCAAAUAUAUACAAGCUGGAUUAGAAAACUUUACAGCUAUAUGACUCCUUAUGUUACGAAAAAUCCACGACAAGCAUAUAUCAAUUACAGAGAUCUUGACCUGGGAAUGAACAACCUAGGCAACACAAGUUACAAACAAGCAAGAAUUUGGGGUACCAAAUAUUUCAAGAACAACUUUGACCGGUUGGUGCAUGUGAAGACCAAAGUUGAUCCGGCUAAUUUCUUUAGAAAUGAACAAAGCAUCCCUCCUCUCACACCUUGGUGAUAGUAUAUCAGAAAUAUUAUAUAUAUUGAUAUUGGUAACGAUGCUUUGGUAUGUUUACCAUAAUUUCUUUAGAAAUGAACAAAGCAUCCCUCUUCUUCAUGUCAGAUUAGACAUGAAUAGAAUUUCACUUUGUAUUGAGUUACGUCGUUAGUAAUUAAUAAAUAAAGGCUCGCUCUUUACUAU